RNAcentral lists this ribosomal RNA (782 nucleotides) under uncultured bacterium. RNAcentral's name for it is "bacterial SSU rRNA". It matches the Rfam family "Bacterial small subunit ribosomal RNA", at positions 97 to 894 of the family's 1533-position model. The record is from RNAcentral.
GGCAAACGGGUGCGUAACACAUUGGUAACCUACCCCGAAGUUCGGUACAACUCCGCGAAAGCGGAGCUAAUUCCGGAUGUGACCCUUCACCAUCAGGUGGAGGGGGAAAGAUUUAUCGCUUCGGGAGGGGCCUAUGGUCCAUCAGCUAGUUGGUGAGGUAACGGCUCACCAAGGCGACGACGGAUAGCGGGCGUGAGAGCGCGACCCGCCUCACUGGGACUGAGACACUGCCCAGACUCCUACGGGAGGCUGCAGUCAAGAAUCUUCCCCAAUGGCCGAAAGGCUGAGGGAGCGACGCCGCGUGUAGGAAGACGCCCUUCGGGGUGUAAACUACUUUUCUCUGGGAAAAACCUUGAUGGUACCAGAGGAAUAAGGGGCUGCUAACUUCGUGCCAGCAGCAGCGGUAAUACGAAGGCCCCGAGCGUUAUCCGGAUUUAUUGGGCGUAAAGAGCUCAACGGCUGCCCGGUCCGUCCCUGGUUAAAUCUUACGGCUCAACCGUGAGACCGCUGGGGAAACCGCCAGGCUUGAGGUCGGGAGAGGCGCGUGGAACUGCCGGUGUAGUAGUAAAAUGCGUUCAUAUCGGCAGGAACACCAAAGGCGAAGGCAGCGCGCUAGAACGUACCUGACGCUCUACGAGCGAAAGCGUGGGUAGCGAAUGGGAUUAGAUACCCCAGUAGUCCACGCCGUAACGAUGGAUGCUAGACAUUGGGGAGUUUCGACCCCUCUCAGUGUGUGAAGCUAACGCGUUAAGCAUCCCGCCUGGGAAGUACCGCCGCAAGGC